This 255-nucleotide ribosomal RNA is filed under the name Listeria monocytogenes. RNAcentral's name for it is "partial 16S ribosomal RNA". It matches the Rfam family "Bacterial small subunit ribosomal RNA", at positions 620 to 873 of the family's 1533-position model. Lineage: Bacteria; Bacillati; Bacillota; Bacilli; Caryophanales; Listeriaceae. The record is from RNAcentral.
GGGUCAGUGGAAACUGGAAGACUGGAGUGCAGAAGAGGAGAGUGGAAUUCCACGUGUAGCGGUGAAAUGCGUAGAUAUGUGGAGGAACACCAGUGGCGAAGGCGACUCUCUGGUCUGUAACUGACGCGGAGGCGCGAAAGCGUGGGGAGCAAACAGGAUUAGAUACCCUGGUAGUCCACGCCGUAAACGAUGAGUGCUAAGUGUUAGGGGGUUUCCGCCCCUUAGUGCUGCAGCUAACGCAUUAAGCACUCCGCC